UCAAGUUAUUUUGUUACCGCU
This 21-nucleotide non-coding RNA is filed under the name Rattus norvegicus (Norway rat). The record is from RNAcentral. Lineage: Eukaryota; Metazoa; Chordata; Mammalia; Rodentia; Muridae.